This 188-nucleotide small RNA is filed under the name Camellia sinensis. RNAcentral's name for it is "transcribed RNA". Lineage: Eukaryota; Viridiplantae; Streptophyta; Magnoliopsida; Ericales; Theaceae. The record is from RNAcentral.
UAAGGGUUCAAGGCCUCCCUAAAAGGAUGGCGGUUUCAUUUUGCUGAACUUCUGGGUGAGAGCAAUUAUAUCCCCAUCAUUAACAUUCGGUUCCGGCUGUACCGGAAGAGGAGGUGGGGGCUGUUGGUUCUGUUAUUGUUCUAGUCUUACGGUUAGUAGUUCCACCAUUCUUUCCAACCUCGCCAUUC